This 301-nucleotide ribosomal RNA is filed under the name uncultured bacterium. RNAcentral describes it as "partial 16S ribosomal RNA". It matches the Rfam family "Bacterial small subunit ribosomal RNA", at positions 509 to 807 of the family's 1533-position model. The record is from RNAcentral.
CAGUAGCCGCGGUAAUACGAAGGGUGCAAGCGUUAAUCGGAAUUACUGGGCGUAAAGCGUGCGUAGGCGGUUUGUUAAGUCUGCUGUGAAGUCCCCGGGCUCAACCUGGGAAUGGCAGUGGAUACUGGCAAGCUAGAGUGUGUCAGAGGAUGGUGGAAUUCCCGGUGUAGCGGUGAAAUGCGUAGAGAUCGGGAGGAACAUCAGUGGCGAAGGCGGCCAUCUGGGACAACACUGACGCUGAGGCACGAAAGCGUGGGGAGCAAACAGGAUUAGAUACCCGCGUAGUCCCUGUCUCUUAUAC